This 375-nucleotide ribosomal RNA is filed under the name uncultured bacterium. RNAcentral describes it as "bacterial SSU rRNA". It matches the Rfam family "Bacterial small subunit ribosomal RNA", at positions 523 to 898 of the family's 1533-position model. The record is from RNAcentral.
AUACGGAGGGUGCAAGCGUUGUCCGGAAUCACUGGGUGUAAAGGGUGUGUAGGCGGGACUGUAAGUCAGAGGUGAAAUCCCACGGCUCAACCGUGGAACUGCCUUUGAUACUGCAGUUCUUGAGUAUCGGAGAGGUUGCUGGAAUUCGUGGUGUAGCGGUGAAAUGCGUAGAUAUCACGAGGAACACCAGAGGCGUAGGCGGGCAACUGGACGAUUACUGACGCUGAGGCACGAAAGCGUGGGGAGCAAACAGGAUUAGAUACCCUGGUAGUCCACGCUGUAAACGAUGAAUGCUCGAUGUUGCACCAAUUGCGGUGCAGUGUCUAAGCUAACGCGUUAAGCAUUCCACCUGGGGAGUACGCUCGCAAGAGUGAA